RNAcentral lists this ribosomal RNA (253 nucleotides) under uncultured bacterium. RNAcentral describes it as "partial 16S ribosomal RNA". It matches the Rfam family "Bacterial small subunit ribosomal RNA", at positions 524 to 776 of the family's 1533-position model. The record is from RNAcentral.
UACGGAGGGAGCUAGCGUUGUUCGGAAUUACUGGGCGUAAAGCGCACGUAGGCGGCUUUCUAAGUCAGGGGUGAAAUCCUGGAGCUCAACUCCAGAACUGCCUUUGAUACUGGAGAGCUUGAGUCCGGGAGAGGUGAGUGGAACUCCGAGUGUAGAGGUGAAAUUCGUAGAUAUUCGGAAGAACACCAGUGGCGAAGGCGGCUCACUGGACCGGUAUUGACGCUGAUGUGCGAAAGCGUGGGGAGCGAACGGG